UUUUUGGCCACUCUGCAGCAUAUGGAUUUCCCUGGGCCAGGGAUCAGAUCAGGUCCAAGUCAACAGCUGUGACCCACACCACAGCUGCAAUGACACCGGAUCCUUUAACCCACUGUGCCAGGCCAGGGAUCAAACCUGCAUCCCAGUGCUCCAGAUGAGCUGCCAAUCCCAUUGCACCACAGCAGGAACUCCAGUAUAAUACUCUCAUCCCCCAUCUUCUAGUUGAGAAAAGAGAUGCUCAGAGAGGCCAAGAAACCUGCCUCAGGUCACAGAGCUAAGAAAGCGAAGAGCAUAGAUUCAAACCCAGGAAACUGGUCAGAGCCAAGUGAUCUGUGGCUUUAUUUAUUUUUUUUAAUUUAUUUAUUUUCUUAGCUUUUUAGGGCCACACCUGCCGCAUAUGGAAGUUUCCAGGUGUCCAAAUGGAGCUGUGUCUGCUGGCCUACGCCACAGCCACAGCAACGCAGGAUCUGAGCCAUGUCUGGGAUCUACACCACAGUUCACCUCAAUGCUGGAUCCUUAACCCACUGAGUGAGGCCAGGGAUCAAACCCGCAUCCUCACAAACACUGAGUCAGGUCCUCAACCCAUUGAGCCACAACAAGAACUCCAAGAUCCACAAACCUCUUACAUUAAUUCACCACCCAUUUUAUAGGUAGAGGUCCAGAGAAAGGAUGCGAUUUAAUCACUAAGGCAGGGCUGGACCCGAAUAUCCCCAAUCAGAUCAAGGUUGAAGCCAGCGACUCUCGGUCAUAUGCCACUUCUCCCCCAUUGUCAAACUUCCCUUUCAACAAAUGAAGCUCCUUAGCCUUCUGCUAAGGCCAGAACAGUACAAGGAGAUACACAAGACAAUUGGGCAGGCUUCCUGCCUGCCCUUUAGUCUAUACACCACUUCAUCCCAUCCACAUCUCCCCAGAGAAAUAGCCAGUCCGAUCCCACAGUUCACUUGCUAAGAAGUCUAGCAUGAGUCACCACUUCUCUGUGCAUCUCAUUUUCUGUAUUCAUUAAAUGAGAUGUGACCGACCUCGCCGGGUUGCUGUGAACACUAAACAAUAAAAUAUACCAAAAGUGACUGGCCCCAAGUUAAGCCCUCAGUCCAUGGUUUCUGUUCCUACCAUCAGAUUGAAAAUGUUAAAGAAGCAAAACAUUCCUCCAAAAUCCCCCUUUGGAGGAGAGGAAUCCACAGAACCCAGCACGCAAAGGUUUGCCAAGUCCUGCAGGUACCUGUGUUAAUGAAUAAAUGAAAAUGCUGGGUAACAAGCAGAGCGAUUAUUUUAUGUAAAUGGCCCUCCCGUGGAGCUUGUAAACAAUUUCUGGUCUUAAGAAAACAUUGCCCUUGAGAGCUUGUUUACAACACCAAUUUGCUUCUCCAACGUUCUCUUCCUGGGCUGUGCAGGGGAGCCCCUGGCCCAGGUAUGAGACAAUCACGACAAAUCCUUAACUGGGUGCUUCCGGUCUUAGCAGUGGCUUAUGGGGACCUGAGAUCCUUGGGGAGGAUUCCACCUUUAACAAAAAUGUUUCUCUUUUUUUUGUUGUUGUUGUUUUUUCCUUCUACGAGGAAGGUAGAAGUUUGGUCCAAGCUGAGAGAGGAGUUAAUAUUUGAGUUGGAAUAAAACAGAUGCAUUUGGAUGGGAUAAAAUAAGAAGCAUAAUAGAGUUCCCAUCGUGGGUCAGCAGUAACGAACCCAACUAGUAUCCACUAGGGUGCAGGUUCAAUCCCUGGCCUCACUCAGUGAGUUAAGGAUUUGGCAUUGUCAUGAGCUGUGGUGUAGGUCACAGGUGUGGCCCAGAUGUUAUGGCUGUGGUGUAAGCCAGCAUCUGUAGCUACAAUUCAACCCCUAGCCUGGGAACUUCCAUAUGCCAAGGGUGCAAUCCUAAAAAGCAAAAAUAAAUAAAUAAGAAGCAUAAUAUAAUAGUGGAAGGAGGUCACCACCAAGCAGAAGAAUGUGCUGGGGUCCUGGUUUAUUCUGGAACAAUAGGGAAUCAAGAAUAAGCACUGGUCAGCUGGGCAACUGCUCAGGAUCCCAGGCGAAACCAGUCUGUGAGAAGUGCUAAAUAAAACCUCACUGAAAUCCACCAGAAAUGCGGUGUCAGGUAACACAGAUUUCCACCUGCCCCUCCUUACAUAACAGAAGACAGUCAGCUAGCCCCGUCCCUUGUCCUAGAAAGCAAAGUACCUGUAGUCACCACAUAAAUCCAUACAAACAGCAGGAGACAGCUGCACAGCACACCACCAACUCUGCACCAGCCAGCUGAUUAUUUAGGAAUACACCCCAAGAGCUGUAUACGAGAUGGAAACUCUUGUAAUAAGUCUUUUGGGUUUUUAACUAAAUAAAGAGGUACAUCUUUUUCAUGAAUCAAAACUGUUUUCCUGUCCCUCCCACAUAAGUGCUAAAUUGAGAUUUGAAUACUCUAAGGUUGAUAAGAUAUUAAUUAUGAGCUUGUUGGGUGAACCCAUAUGUCUCAGGUGGCCCUGGACAAAUCAUAUGACCUUUAAGAGUCAAUUGAUGACUGCACUUCAAGAUGUUAUGGACAUUCUUUCUCCUGGAAAACUCACAGGCAUUAUUUCCUGAAUGGAAGCCCAACUCUCCCAGUGUUUUAGAUCAUAAACAUAUUUGUUCAGGUUAAAAAAAAAAAAGUCAAUUGACAACAUUGUACAUCAACUCUAAUUAAAAAAAAAAAAAAGAAGUCAAUCUGAAUUUCAAGAGUAAAUAGCCAAAGGGUAAAGAAAGUGGCCAUGAUAUCAAUGAACAAACCAUUUCAUACUUCUAUGCCUUUGGCUUACUGUUCCUUCUCCCUGGGGUGUCCUGCUGUAGUCCACUCCCCCCCUCUUACUGAUGUGGCCAUCUCAAGGUCAAAUCAAGGA
This 2860-nucleotide long non-coding RNA is filed under the name Sus scrofa (pig). RNAcentral describes it as "lncRNA (ENSSSCG00025018181.1)". Lineage: Eukaryota; Metazoa; Chordata; Mammalia; Artiodactyla; Suidae. The record is from RNAcentral.